RNAcentral lists this ribosomal RNA (497 nucleotides) under uncultured bacterium. RNAcentral's name for it is "partial 16S ribosomal RNA". It matches the Rfam family "Bacterial small subunit ribosomal RNA", at positions 28 to 507 of the family's 1533-position model. The record is from RNAcentral.
GAUGAACGCUGGCGGCGUGCCUAAUACAUGCAAGUCGAGCGAACAGAUGAGGAGCUUGCUCCUCUGACGUUAGCGGCGGACGGGUGAGUAACACGUGGAUAACCUACCUAUAAGACUGGGAUAACUUCGGGAAACCGGAGCUAAUACCGGAUAAUAUAUUGAACCGCAUGGUUCAAUAGUGAAAGACGGUCUUGCUGUCACUUAUAGAUGGAUCCGCGCCGCAUUAGCUAGUUGGUAAGGUAACGGCUUACCAAGGCAACGAUGCGUAGCCGACCUGAGAGGGUGCUCGGCCACACUGGAACUGAGACACGGUCCAGACUCCUACGGGAGGCAGCAGUAGGGAAUCUUCCGCAAUGGGCGAAAGCCUGACGGAGCAACGCCGCGUGAGUGAUGAAGGUCUUCGGAUCGUAAAACUCUGUUAUUAGGGAAGAACAAAUGUGUAAGUAACUGUGCACGUCUUGACGGUACCUAAUCAGAAAGCCACGGCUAACUACGUG